RNAcentral lists this ribosomal RNA (253 nucleotides) under uncultured bacterium. Its description in RNAcentral is "partial 16S ribosomal RNA". It matches the Rfam family "Bacterial small subunit ribosomal RNA", at positions 524 to 776 of the family's 1533-position model. The record is from RNAcentral.
UACGAAGGGGGCUAGCGUUGCUCGGAAUGACUGGGCGUAAAGGGCGCGUAGGCGGUGGACACAGUCAGGCGUGAAAUUCCUGGGCUCAACCUGGGGGCUGCGUUUGAUACGUGUUUGCUAGAGUGGGGAAGAGGGACGUGGAAUUCCCAGUGUAGAGGUGAAAUUCGUAGAUAUUGGGAAGAACACCGGUGGCGAAGGCGGCGACCUGGUCCUUGACUGACGCUGAGGCGCGAAAGCGUGGGGAGCAAACAGG